UUAGCUCAUAUUUGUAUGGAAUAGGAUCGUUUGCCUACGUUUGUCGCUAGGGGCGCUGUUCUAACUGCAUACAAAAUUGGGCUA
This 84-nucleotide microRNA precursor is filed under the name Bombyx mori (domestic silkworm). Its description in RNAcentral is "mir-2807 microRNA precursor family". It matches the Rfam family "mir-2807 microRNA precursor family". The record is from Rfam by way of RNAcentral. Lineage: Eukaryota; Metazoa; Arthropoda; Insecta; Lepidoptera; Bombycidae.